UCAGCCAGGCAUACAAGAAAAGAACAAGCUGACUAUGCUAAAGCACUCCUGGAGCUGAGCCAUCUAACAAACACGGGAAACAUUCUGGGAGAUAAAACGCUCCACCAAGCAUUCUGAGACAAAGGGUUUGUUUAUAAGAUGGGGAUUUUUCCCAGUAUUUUAAGUUUCACUAGACAAUAGACGGGUGCUUUCCUGAAUGAGGAUGCCUUCCGUCUUUUCUAUCACUCCACCAUCUUUUCCUCAUGACUAAACUGAGGUGAUAAGAUGAAACACAUCAAACAGAGGCUUGUUCAUCUCUUUUGUUUAAACGUAAGUUACGCAUGCCAGAAAUAAAACCUACAAGUCUCACUGUUUUGGGAGGCUGCUGGGAGCCAAGACCAGACUAAGAGGUCAGACUGAGGAACAGAGAGGUUUCCCUACAGCAGAGUCAACAGCUUCAAAACCAAACCACUUAAACGUUUUAUCACAGUGAUCUGACAUUAAAAUGGAAGACUUAAAAUAAUUUUCUUAGACUAGAGUAAAACAAAUGUAAGUAA
Pezoporus flaviventris is the source of this 536-nucleotide long non-coding RNA. RefSeq lists it as uncharacterized. NCBI's taxonomy places the organism in Eukaryota, Metazoa, Chordata, Aves, Psittaciformes, Psittacidae. The record is from RefSeq and is a predicted model, not a curated record. The transcript is spliced from 3 exons.